AUGCUUGCUGGGUUUUGGCCCUAUCGCUUCAAAGCUCCACCUCCCUCCUCCACCUCCCCCACCCCCCACUCCUGGUAUGAAGCCUCUAAUUUAAGAAGCACCAUUGGAGAAAUAGAAGAUGAUAAGACAUGAAGGAGCCACAGACCCUAACACCAUGACCACUAAAGCCCUGAUGACUCCUGCCUGCAUCUCUUCCUGCCAAGUGUCACCAGAAAACCUCUGCCCCAUUGCCAUCUAUUACCCUCACAUGACCUCCCUAGCCUCUGAAAGCAGACACUGGGAUGCUAAGAGAAUCAAAUAUGAAGAACCAAGGACUGGCCUCCCAAAUGUGUGUUCUCAGAUUUUGCUGAUGGUAAAGAAUGAGAAUUGAGGAAGAAAGAAUGUAUCUUCUGUCAGCCCUCCCCUCCUUAGCCUCUUAGCCUGCCUUUGGGUUCCUGACAUGAGUAUUGUGGCCUGGCUUCUCAGAGACUCUCACUCACCAGCACUCAUCAGCUGGGCUGCUGCCAGAGACACCGUGGCCUUGCUGUCAGUCAGACCCUCCAUGGCCGUCAGCACCAGGUGGGUGAGCUGCAUCUCGGUGAAGUACUCUGCAAAUGCCUGUAAGGGUGGCAUCAGGCCGCCUGCACCCAGGGCCUCCUGCUUGAGGUAGCCUGUGCCAUCCUUCCUGGUUGGGGUAGGAGGAGAGACCUUCUCUUGGGAACAUGAUGUGCUUUUGUCCUAGGCCUGUGCUGUCUGCCUAGCUCCUAGAAGACCCUUUCACUGGGAACAGAGUCUUUGGGAAUGGGAGGGAGAAAACACUGACCUCAGAUGCACCGAGGGGCUCACAGGUCAGGGGCAGAGUGCUGGGAAAGAAGGGCUGAGACCAAGAUCCUUAAUGACAUAUGUUUGAGGCAUGGGCUGAGUCUACAAAAAGCAUCAUUAGUGUGAAGCAAACGCUUCUGGGUGACAGGUAAGAAAGAAGGAUUAGGACCCAUGAUGCUGAAGAGGGAGCAUACUGUAGCAUGUUGAAAAUUUCCCCAAAGUAAAAGUUCACAAUCAGCAAUGGAAUGGGAAAGGGGAUGGAAUAAAGGAGUCCCACCGCAGGAGUCUAUAAUAUGAUGUAGGUUAGAGGCCCAGGCUCUUCCCAGUUUGUCUCUGGCCCUGCCCUCUCACCUUGGCAAUCUCAAAGGUGUUGUUAUAGAACACGUUGGCACUAUAGACUUCACUCUUGCCCUCUUCUUCCCAUAAGCCCUGUUUUUUCCUUUGCAUCUCUGAAACAAAGACACCCGACCCCACCCCUCAGACACUCGAAAGGUGUCUUAGGUUCCCCUUAGGUUCCCAUCUGCCCAACCCAAACCACCUACUGCACUAAAUCAGCUUGGGGAGAUGUUUAUCCCAUGGGGAAGGGGAAUGGGCUGUAAGAUAAGGAAAGGUGAGAGCUAAUGUCAAAGGAACCCUCAUGUUGCCUGCCUCAGAGCAGAGACAGAAUAGGGUCAGAGUAUGGUGCUCAGCCAGAGGAGGAGAAACUAAUUCAAAAGAACUGUUUCCUGAGUAGCUAUUUUGUCCCAAGAGGGUAUAGGUAGAUGUCUAGGGGCAGGUUCCUCAUUGGAAAUGAGGUUGCUCAGGUAACUUCCUAGCUCUCACUCUUCCAGACCAGUAUGUGGGUGGAUGGCCAAACCUCAAUGGGAGGCCAGAGCAGAAGUGAAAAGAGGAGAUUCUCCCUACGCUUUUGCAGCAGGAGGAUACGGUAGAGAUUGUAGACUGCCUGUGAAGACAGGAAGCAGAUGUUGUCCACUGGGUCCUGGCAGCGCAUGGCCAGCAGCCUUACCAAGCACCCCAACCGAGAGAACUUGAUCUCCACCUGGAGAGGAGAGCGGGAAGUCACAAGUUAUCCCAGCCAUUCCCUUAGGCUGAGUUAAAAGGAGAGGAGGCGGGGAUUCAGGAGAGAUAUGAAAGGAAAGACUAGGUGAGGUUAACGGGAAUGAAAUUAGACAGGUGGGUUGUAGCUAUUAAAAACUUGUGGGAUCAUAGUUUUGGAAUGACCUUACACUGUCCCUCUUCUUUGCCCCUUGAUAUUGUACUCAUUGUUCAGGCCUAGCUCAAAUGUCUCCUCCUCUCUGAAGCUUUCCCUUCACUUACACUUCAUUUGUGUUUUGAUCUUUUAUUCCUCCUAGAUUUGGUUUGUACUUUCGUAAUCGCCUUCUAUUUAAGUUUGUUCUACGCAUGCUUCUCUCCCCAGUGGACUAUAAGAUCCAUGAAAAUAGAAAAACUGUCUUGGUCAUCUAUGUAUCCACUGUAACGCUUAGCAUGGUGCCUGAAUGUCACCAGUUCUCAGCCAUUAGUGAAUCUAAGCAGUGAUCAUCAAAAGCUCUAAACACCACAAGACAUCAUGUGGCUGUUGAUAGAAGAAGACAACACUACUUGUGAAGUAAUCUUGCCAAAAAUUGAUCAGGUUCAUGAUCUAGAUCCAACAAUUACAAUUAGAAUCUAACAGAUUCUAGGUCUCGCAAUUUAUAGGACAGAUUUAGACAGAGGAGUUUAUUAAGUGGCCCCAAAAAGAUGUAAUUAGGACAACCCAGAAUGUGGAAAAUUUAGAGAACAAAUGACUAGGUUUCUUCAACAAAUAAAUUUCAAGGAAAAAAAUGAUUGAAGGGCAAUAUAUAGAUUAAAAGAAUUAAGAGACAGGGGCGCAUGGUGGCUCAGUCAGUUAAGUGUCCAACUUCGGCUCAGGUCAUGGUCUCAUGCGGUUCAUGGGUCCCAGCCCCACGUUGGGCUCUGUGCUGACAGUGUGGAGCCUGGAGCCUAGAGCCUGCUUCAGAUUCUGUGUCUCCCUCUCUCUCUCUUAAAAAUAAACAUUAAAAAAAAUAAGAGAGACAAACCAACUGAUUGGGAUGUGUGAAUGUUUAAUGACACCAAGAAAUGAAAUUACUUUCUUUCAUCGGUGUUUUAUAGUUUUCAGAGUACAGGCCUUUCACCUCCUUGGUUACGUUUUUUCCUAAAUAUUUUAUUAUUUUUACUGCAAUUGUAAGUGAGAUUGUUUA
Long non-coding RNA from Felis catus (domestic cat), 3020 nucleotides. RefSeq lists it as uncharacterized. NCBI's taxonomy places the organism in Eukaryota, Metazoa, Chordata, Mammalia, Carnivora, Felidae. The transcript has 4 exons. The record is from RefSeq and is a predicted model, not a curated record.